This 406-nucleotide ribosomal RNA is filed under the name uncultured bacterium. RNAcentral describes it as "partial 16S ribosomal RNA". It matches the Rfam family "Bacterial small subunit ribosomal RNA", at positions 30 to 526 of the family's 1533-position model. The record is from RNAcentral.
AUUGAACGCUGGCGGCAGGCUUAACACAUGCAAGUCGAGCGAGAGGCGGACGGGUGAGUAAUGUCUGGGAAACUGCCCGCUGGAGGGGGAUAACUACUGGAAACGGUAGCGAAUACCGCAUACCAUCGGAUGUGCCCAGAUGGGAUUAGCGAGUAGGUGGGGUAACUGAUCACCUAGGCGACGAUCCCUAGCUGGUCUGAGAGGAUGACCAGCCACACUGGAACUGAGACACGGUCCAGACGCCUACGGGAGGCAGCAGUGGGGAAUAUUGCACAAUGGGCGCAAGCCUGAUGCAGCCAUGCCGCGUGUAUGAAGAAGGCCUUCGGGUUGUAAAGUACUUUCAGCGAGGAGGCGUUACUCGCAGAAGAAGCACCGGCUAACUCCGUGCCAGCAGCCGCGGUAAUAC